UACAGAGGUCCCGAGCGUUGUUCGGAUUCACUGGGCGUAAAGGGUGCGUAGGUGGCGGUGUAAGUUUGAUGUGAAAGCUCAGGGCUUAACCCUGAAAUGGCAUUGAAUACUACAUUGCUGGAGGUUUGGAGGGGGGACUGGAAUUCUUGGUGUAGCAGUGAAAUGCGUAGAUAUCAAGAGGAACACCAGUGGCGAAGGCGAGUCCCUGGACAACACCUGACACUGAGGCACGAAAGCCGGGGGAGCAAACGGG
Molecule: ribosomal RNA, 253 nt
Filed under: uncultured bacterium
Lineage: Bacteria
Description: partial 16S ribosomal RNA
Rfam family: Bacterial small subunit ribosomal RNA
Source: RNAcentral